GAGCAACACAGGCUGAGGCCUGGCGGGGAAAGGGAGCAUCCAAAGCUUGCCUCAGUGCUUGUGCAUGAAGCCUGCCUGGUCACUCAGCCCCCUAGACUCUCUCUUUCUCUCUCUCUGCUCCAACCCUAACAUCUCAUGUUGUAUCAUUUAUUGGGCAUUGCCCUGGACAAUGCAGUGAGCCAGCUCUCCAAUGUGUGAGUGCUGAGACCUCAGGCAAGUGGUUUUCCUUCUCAGGGAAGGGGCUCUGGUGCCCAUAGCAACAAUUCAUGUGUAAUAAGAGCUCAAGAGUCAUUUGCUUACAAAAUAAUUCUUGAGUGCCUACAACUUGAGUGCCAGGCUCUUUUCUGGGCAAAAGGGAGGCAGCUGUGAACAAGACAGACCAGGCUAUGUUUCCUGGAACUAUAGUACAUUCUAUGAGAGAAGGUUAUGCAAUAAAUAAAUGAACACAUACGUGAAAGAUAAUAUAGUGCCACGCAGAGAAUAACAAUGGCUGAGACUGAAUGAUAACUAUCUACUGAACCAAUUAAUGAACAAAAGAGAAGUAGGAAGGAAGACUUUCUGAAAACCAUAUUCCCGGGAGGUAUAGAAUUCAAACAGGGAGCCCAAGGGCUGAGACGACACACCAAAGUAUACUCUAAGAUCUAAGAAGACUUCCUGGAGAAGGUGAGUUUUGCUCACCUUGGACUUGCAAACGUGAUUAGACAGCUUGGCUUUUUGCUUAAGCGAUGACCUGAAGAGAAGGCUCUGUGUCAACAGAUGCUUAUUGAGCAGAUGCUCUGGGCUGAGCUGGCUGAGGACAGGAGGAUGGUGACAGAAGACCAUCCUCACCCUCUGAAGGCUCACAGUCCAGAAAUGGGAGAUUUCUUUCUCCUAAACACAUACCCAAAGAGAUUCCUCCUCAGCUGAAGUAGGAGGAGGAAGCAGCAGCAGCAGAAGGAGGAGGAAGAGGAAGAGGAGGAAGAGGAAAGAGGAGGAG
Molecule: long non-coding RNA, 976 nt
Organism: Gorilla gorilla gorilla (western lowland gorilla)
Lineage: Eukaryota; Metazoa; Chordata; Mammalia; Primates; Hominidae
Exons: 3
Source: RefSeq, a predicted model, not a curated record